This 1094-nucleotide long non-coding RNA is filed under the name Zonotrichia albicollis (white-throated sparrow). RNAcentral's name for it is "lncRNA (ENSZALG00000006950.1)". The record is from RNAcentral. Lineage: Eukaryota; Metazoa; Chordata; Aves; Passeriformes; Passerellidae.
CAGGUAGACAGAUGUUUUCCAAGGAAGUACCUGGAUAUUCUCAUACUCCAUCUGUUUGAAUGCAUUGUGAUGCACAUAAAUUUAACCAUUCUGUUAGAAGUACCUAAACAUUGGAGAGUGACCUGCCUCCCCAGUCCAGGCAGGAAGGAGAGAUGCUUGCUGCUAUCAGUUUAUUUCAAAAGCUCAGGAGUUACUAAUCAUCCUGUCCUUUGUCACUGAUUAUUGACUCAUAAGAACCAGGCUUGGCUAAUAGAAAAUUGCUGUAAAUACUACAAGAGCACAAGGAUGGAUUUAUUUAGUCAGAAAAACCAUCGCUCAUCAGACUUGAAGAAGAGGAAAGGCAGUGGUCAAGUCCAAUUGACAAAAUGUGGUUAAGUGAAUUGUCACAUCUGCAUUCAUUAGCAAAAUUAUUUAGGGGGGUGCAAAAGCGUUCACACCCAGUUCUGGUUUCCACAGGUCAUUGGGUGCCUGUUGCUUAGAAAGGCUCUGACAAGGCAGGCAUGCCAACCUGAUAAUGACUGCUGUGAAGAGCAUAAGAAGUUUCCCUUUGCUUCAAUUCUUUGGAGUCACAGAAGAGACACAGAUAAAGGUUUCCCAGCUGGAAGAAAGUUUGUUGACUAAGUUAAACAACAGACAUGAAAAAAGUAAAGGAAGAAAUAUCCCCAUAUUCUACUGAAUUUCUUAAAUUCCAUUGCAGGAUGAAAUGAGCAAACACACAAAUGAAAUUCAACUUGAAAUCUUUUGUUGGAUUUUGUUUUAAAACGUUCUGUGUAAAGAUUCAAUGGGUAUUUUAACUCAAUCCCUAAACUCCUUUUGGAUGAACCUCUGUUUAUAAGAUCCAGACAUUUUACUGGCAGAAAUGUUUGGUUGGUGUUAGAAGACUUCAAGCUUGGAUUCCCCAGAUUAUUUCAUUCACCUAUGUCAGCCAAAAUGCCAGUGAAACAAUUUGGGCAUGCAGAACUGAACUGGGAAGCUUUUGAAUUGUUGCUCCAUCAUUCACAAACUGAAGCUCAUGAUAUAUUUCCUUCUUUUUCACAUGCAGUAGAAAUUGUCUGCAGUUUCCAUGAUAUUGAAUAAAAAUUAUUUUGCUGUCA